ACGCUCGACACCUACGGAGGCAGCAGUGGGGAAUAUUGCACAAUGGGGGAAACCCUGAUGCAGCGACGCCGCGUGGAGGAAGAAGGUCUUCGGAAUUGUAAACUCCUGUUGUUGGGGAAAAAGAGGAUGGUACCCAACAAGGAAGUGACGGCUAACUACGUGCCAGCAGCCGCGGUAAUCUGAGCGGGCUGGCAAGGC
Molecule: ribosomal RNA, 198 nt
Filed under: uncultured bacterium
Lineage: Bacteria
Description: partial 16S ribosomal RNA
Rfam family: Bacterial small subunit ribosomal RNA
Source: RNAcentral